Alligator sinensis (Chinese alligator) is the source of this 550-nucleotide long non-coding RNA. RefSeq lists it as uncharacterized. The transcript is spliced from 2 exons. Lineage: Eukaryota; Metazoa; Chordata; Crocodylia; Alligatoridae. The record is from RefSeq and is a predicted model, not a curated record.
AGGGCCGAGCUCGUUCCUAGUGUAGGGGAGAAGAGACGAGGACGAGGAAGAGGAGCCCUGCGUCACUACGGAUUUAAACAACCGGUGUAGCAUCUCCCCAGGUUGUCGCAGCGCCACACCAGAUUCCAGCUCCACCAAAAAUCUCUCGUAGUACCAGCAGCACUACAGACUCUGUUGGGUUUCCCUGCAGUGACACUUUUGUCUGUCCAGCAGGAAGGAUCUGUUGUGGCUCCAGCAAGGAGGGGUUUUCCUCUUCAAGGUUAAUUGCUUUCCAACUGGUGCACAGCCAAUAUGGAGAUGUGAGGGUGAAGGAGGCAGCAGGUAGGUGCCCCAGGGCCAUGUCAACAGCAAAGUGAAUGGACAGAAUGAGGGCACAGCAGGUGAAGUCCUCCUCUUUAUUCUGCCCUCAGACUCUUCCCUGGAGCUUGUUCUACUGAAGAGAUGUGCAGGUCAUCCUGUCAGUCUUUCCUUCUCAUGCUACCAUGGAUAAAAUCAUCCGUCUCACUGAACCGUGCUGAAAUAAAAGCUGUUGUAACUAUUUGUACUAAAA